GUACAAAUUGAGGUUUCCCUUCAAAACAUUCCCAUCGGGAUCCGUGGGUGGCGCAGCGGUUUGGCGCCUGCCUUUGGCCCAGGGCGCGAUCCUGGACACCCGGGAUCGAAUCCCACGUCGGGCUCCCGGUGCAUGGAGCCUGCUUCUCCCUCUGCCUGUGUCUCUGCCUCUCUCUCUCUCUGUGACUAUCAUAAAUAAAUAAAAAUUAAAAAAUAAAAUCUUUAAAAAAAGAAAAAACAUUCCCAUCAUUUCGGCCUACAGGAAGGAUUAUGGCUUUUAACCAAAGUCUGUCUGCCUUUCUCCAGCAUUAACAUUGACAUGUAAGAACACCCUCCUUCAUCAGGCCCUCAACACACACACAUACACACACACCCGUGUAAACAGAUGCGAGUUCUCCGACAUUCCUUCAGCAAAUUACCACUAAAGCCACUCGCUGACAUUUCCCUGCAAAUAAUGUACCUACCACUACCGAGUUUUCACUCUUGAACUAGUUUCAAACAGGAUGGUGGUGUUCUUUCCUGGCCACCACUUUAACCCAGAAGGAGACCAUCCUCUGACUUCUGAGGCCUGUGCCAGUCAGAUACAGUGCAGUGGUUUCGGGUUGGAGCUGCACCGUCUGUUUAAAAACUCCCUUUUAUGAAAAUAAAAUCUUUUAAGAAUAUAUCACCGAAAAUAAAAACUCUUUUAUAUAUUUCGCUUUCAUUUUGAAAGGAGACAAGAUUGUGCUAUUUUUCUGCACAAACGUCACUUGUUGAGCCUUGAGAGCUUCAUGCAAUGUGUACUAUGGAAAAUAAACUAAACUGCAAACAACACGUUCUCAUCACACUCACGGAAGUGUGUCUUAGCGGUGCCACGACGCCGGCACCAAGUGUGACCACCACGUGAGCAAGUGCAUUCCGCCGGCUCAAGGUAGUGUGAUUUUCAAGGAGCAAGAGUAUAAAUGUACUUAAUGCCGCUGAGUGAUGCCACACUUCAGUAAACAGAUAGCACCAUGUACGUGUGUGCGCGUGUAGGAGCCUGCAUCGCCAGCGCAUUUUACAGCUCCCCGCAGCACCCGGACGGAGCUCUGCGGACUGCGGCUACUCUUCCUUUGCGGGCACUCCCCGCGGCACCUAAUCGUCCAGAACGAGCCCGCUUUGUUUGCGCAAUUGGGAGAAAGGACGCGGCGCCGAAGCCAGGACCCCCGGCUGCGUGCCCGCGGCUGCGAGGCGCUUCCAGGUGGUGGGAAGGCCCGGCUGCCCCCCACCCCGCCCCGGGGAGGAACAGGAUCCCAAACCAGGGGGCAAAGCACGGAGCACGAGCUUGUGGCUGA
This 1312-nucleotide long non-coding RNA is filed under the name Canis lupus familiaris (dog). RNAcentral's name for it is "lncRNA (ENSCAFG00030023271.1)". Lineage: Eukaryota; Metazoa; Chordata; Mammalia; Carnivora; Canidae. The record is from RNAcentral.